This 552-nucleotide long non-coding RNA is filed under the name Mytilus galloprovincialis (Mediterranean mussel). Lineage: Eukaryota; Metazoa; Mollusca; Bivalvia; Mytilida; Mytilidae. The record is from RNAcentral.
UGCUAUCAUAUGACAAAUCUUUUACUACUGAGUAUAAAUGUUUGAACUGCCAAGAAUAUUUCAAUGUUUUGUUCGUAGCUGAAGUCCGUUGAACCGUGUAGCAAGAUUUCUUCCGACAAAAUAUGUAUUAUAUUGAUAUUAUAAAAAUGCUGUUCACGCAUAAUGUGAAAACGGGGGCAGUGCAACAAGUAGUGCGCUGUCGUUUCUAUAGCACCACAUAAACAAAGUGGCGAAUCCACUAUAUUUUUAACAAACAGAUGAUGAUUUAGAGAACUGCAUUGCAUACGAAGUCUUGAGUGAUAAAUUUGACCCAAUCGCUUACCAAUGUAAAAAUAAUUUGGAGGUUUUAUCGCCCGAGACUGGAAACAAUUCCUGAAUGCCCCCACCGAAGUACUGGUCUUAGCAUUCUCAGGGAGGAGAUUCCAUGAACGUACAGUUGCCGGUAAAAAAUAAUUUGAAUACAGGGCUGUUCUUGUUCGAACAGGGGGGAUUAGGGACGAGUUUCUCGUAUUAUGACUAUGUAUGGUUGCAUGGGACUCUGGAACUAAGGUU